RNAcentral lists this ribosomal RNA (1464 nucleotides) under metagenome. RNAcentral describes it as "bacterial SSU rRNA". It matches the Rfam family "Bacterial small subunit ribosomal RNA". The record is from RNAcentral.
AGAGUUUGAUCAUGGCUCAGCGUGAACGCUGGCGGCAUGGCUAAAGCAUGCAAGUCGUACGAACCCGCAAGGGUGAGUGGCGGACGGGUUAGUAAUAAGAUCGAACAUACCUCGAGCUGGAGGAUAGCGGCGGGAAACUGCCGGUAAUACUCCAUGUCCUCUCCGGAGAAAAGCUUUUGCGGCUUGAGAUUGGCGAUUUUCCUAUCAGCUAGUUGGCGGGGUAAAGGCCCACCAAGGCGAAGACGGGUAGCAGGUGUGAGAGCACGACCUGCAACAUCGGGACUGAGACACUGCCCGGACUCCUACGGGAGGCUGCAGCGACGAAUCUUCUGCAAUGGGUGAAAGCCUGACAGAGCAAUGCCGCGUGUGGGAUGAAGCGUCUAUGACGUGUAAACCACUGUCAGGGGGCGGAACCAAUGAUUGCCCCCAGAGGAAGAGCCGGCUAACCCUGUGCCAGCAGCCGCGGUAAUACAGGGGGCUCGAGCGUUACGCGGAAUCACUGGGCUUAAAGGGUGCGUAGGUGGCUUGCAAAGCAUUACGUGAAAGCCCCGGGCUCAACCCGGGAAUUGCGCGAUGUACUGGCAAGCUUGAGGUAUGUAGGGGUUGACGGAACAGUGGGUGGAGCGGUGAAAUGCGUAGAGAUCCACUGGAACGCCGAUGGUGAAGACGGUCAACUGGGCAUAUCCUGACACUGAGGCACGAAAGCGUGGGGAGCAAACAGGAUUAGAUACCCUGGUAGUCCACGCCGUAAACGAUGAUGACUGGACCGGUGCGGGUCUUACCCCGUAUCGGUCGAAGCGAAAGCGUUAAGUCAUCCGCCUGGGAAGUACGGUCGCAAGACUAAAACUCAAAUGAAUUGACGGGGGCUCACACAAGCGGUGGAGCAUGUUGCUUAAUUCGAGGCAACGCGAAGAACCUUACCUGGGUUUGACAUGUACGUAUCAACUCUAUGAAAGUAGAGCCACAGUCGCAAGACCGGAACGUGCACAGGUGCUGCAUGGCUGUCGUCAGCUCGUGCUGUGAAGUGUCGGGUUAAGUCCCUUAACGAGCGCAACCCCUAUCGUUAGUUGCCACCAGGUCAUGCUGAGCACUCUAACGAGACUGCCGGCGUUAAGCCGGAGGAAGGUGGGGAUGACGUCAAGUCCUCAUGGCCCUUACAUCCAGGGUUGCAAACGUGCUACAAUGGUGCAUACAGAGCGAUGCAAGAGCGCAAGCUGGAGCAAAUCGCAAAAAGUGCACCCCAGUUCGGAUUGCGGGCUGCAACCCGCCCGCAUGAAGUCGGAAUCGCUAGUAAUCGGGGAUCAGCUACGCCCCGGUGAAUAAGUUCCUGAGCCUUGUACACACCGCCCGUCACGUCAUGGGAGCCGGUUACGCCCGAAGUCGCCUCACUACUGUGGUGCCUACGGCAGAAUCGGUGACUGGGACGAAGUCGGAACAAGGUAGCCGUAGGAGAACCUGCGGCUG